AUUCCCAAACCCGCCAACCAAGUCUUCUCUCUCUUUUCUUCUCUUUCUCUCAAGCCAAACACAAAACACGAUUCCACUUUCACUUCUCUGGAUUCUCGGGAAAACGUCCAUGUCUUCGUUUCUUUCUCGAGAAUCUGAACCUGAUUCACGUACUUUUUACUGCCGCAAAGAGAAAUCUCUCGGCCUUUUAUGCUCCAAUUUCUUGGAGUUGUAUAACCAUGACAGCAUUCAAACGAUUGGACUUGACGAUGCAGCUUCAAAAUUAGGAGUUGAACGUCGUCGUAUAUAUGAUGUAGUGAAUAUAUUGGAGAGUAUUGGAGUUGUGGCAAGAAAAGGGAAGAACCAAUACUCAUGGAAGGGUUUUGGAGAAAUUCCAAGGGCUUUGGAGAAGCUUAAGGAAGAGGCUCUGAAAGAGAAUUUUUAUAUUUCUGGUUGCAACAAAUCAUUAAGGGUCUUAGAUGAAAAUGAAAGUGGAGGGUCUUUUAACGUGAAGAUUGAUGGGCAAGAUAAUAGUUCGGAAUCAUCAAAACAUAUCGAUACCAAAAGAGAAAAAUCUCUUUGGCUUAUCACGCAGAACUUUGUCAAGCUUUUCCUUUGUUCAGAUGUAAGAAAACUUCUUUUCAAUGUGGGUUUGCUGUUUAUGAAUUGUUUGUUAGCCCUGUCUGGUGAAUAUCUGAUUUCUUUUCUACAGGCUGAAAUUAUCACUCUUGAUAGUGCUGCGGUUGCUUUGCUGGGUGAUGUCCACAAUUCAACUGCUAUGAGAACAAAAGUUAGACGAUUGUAUGACAUUGCCAAUGUGUUUUCUUCCAUGAAUUUAAUUGAGAAGACCCACCACCCCGAAAGCAGGAAACCGGCAUUUAGGUGGCUGGGAUGGGGAGCCAAACUUCAUAAUGGAUCAACGACAGCUUUGGCUUUGAAUGAAUCAAAGAAGAGGAUGUUUGGAACCGAGAUUGCAAACCACAGUUUAAAGAGAAUGAAGGCAAACACCUCAGUUCAUCGGAAGUUAAACCAGAAGGAAAAUAUGGCAAUGCAUAUUAAACACGAGUGUGUAGAAAAAGAUAACAAAAUGGAGCAGCAUCUAAAGCAGAGCUCCAGAGGUUUUGUGUUCGGCCCUUUUACUCCAGGGGGUAUGCCCACAGGAAACAAAAAUGAGAGACCAGUUGGGGACUGGGAGAGCCUUGCGUCUACGUAUAAACCUCAUUAUCUUAAUCAAGCUCUUAGUGACCUCUUUGCUCAUUACAUGGAAGCAUGGAAGUCUUGGUAUGCAGAAGUUGCCGGAAGAGGAGAAACUCAUUUAAGUCCCUGACCCUCUUCUCUCUUUUUCUAACUCAAGAUCACCAAACACACAAGUUCAAAAUGGAAAGCAAACAUGUUUUACAGGACAGCAUGCAGUGCACAUACAUAGAUUAGAUGCGAUACCCAAAACAGCUAAGCUACGUGGGCUACAUUCUUCAGUUUUCUGACUUGUGUGAAAAGCUAAGACGUGGUGACUCUGCUUCCUGUUUGCCAACGUCACCUUGAUUCCACAUUGGGGUCCUCCCUCGUUUGAAAUUACCGGCUAAAUCCUCCGAAGUUCAACAUAAUUUCAGGUUCCCAUCAACAGCAAUCAUACCAUUGUUUCUGUUCACAUCAUGGUGAAUUUGUCCUAACCUCAAGAAUCCUUAUCUCACCCAGGCUUAGAAUUUUCAAACUUUGCAGAUAUCACAAAGGGGGUCAAAAUCACAGGUUUUGUGGUGCUCAAGUGUUUGCUGAGAAACCAUGAGAGCCACAUGCGCCCCACUUGUUCGUUGUCCCAAUUUUGACAAACGUGAUUUUACUGAGACAACGAACAAUGGGCCUACCAACGUUUAGUGCUUUUUCUUGAACCAACCAUCAAUGGGUUUUUGCCUAAUUCGGCUCUUGCUUUUUGUAUCAUGGAAUGACCCCUGGGUGAGGGGGAAAGUGAAACCCGAAACAUUAAUCACAAGUUGGACAAAAUCACCAACACUGUUUACUGUUUUCCAUGACUUAAGAUGACUGGGUUCAUUCCCUUUGACGCCAGAUAAAGUAGUUUCGUCCCCUCCUACUAAGCAUGCAUUGAUGCCAAACAACCUUCUCUCCCCUGCUCACCCACGUUGUUAAUUUUAAGUAACUUCUUUUAAUAUCCUUAUCUUCUCAAAAUGUUGGUUACGUAAAAAUAAAUAUUAUAAUAAUAAUAAUAAUUUGUUAUUCUUUAAAUAAUCAAAAUACAAAAAAAUGAAUAAAUAU
This is a non-coding RNA of Theobroma umbraticum, 2247 nucleotides long. The record is from RefSeq and is a predicted model, not a curated record. Lineage: Eukaryota; Viridiplantae; Streptophyta; Magnoliopsida; Malvales; Malvaceae.